AACGAACGCUGGCGGCAUGCCUAACACAUGCAAGUCGAACGAACCCUUCGGGGUGAGUGGCGCACGGGUGCGUAACGCGUGGGAACCUGCCUUUUGGUUCGGAAUAACAGUUAGAAAUGACUGCUAAUACCGGAUAAUGUCUUCGGACCAAAGAUUUAUCGCCAUUAGAUGGGCCCGCGUAGGAUUAGCUAGUUGGUGAG
Molecule: ribosomal RNA, 200 nt
Filed under: uncultured bacterium
Lineage: Bacteria
Description: partial 16S ribosomal RNA
Rfam family: Bacterial small subunit ribosomal RNA
Source: RNAcentral